UGGCCAAGUGAUAGUGGCAUACGGUGGAUGCCUUGGCACCAGGCGCCGAUGAAGGACGUGGGAGGCCGCGAUAGUCCACGGGGAGUUGUCAACCGAGCUUUGAUCCGUGGGUGUCCGAAUGGGGAAACCUAGCCCGAGUUGUGUCGGGUUGCCGCUGUCUGAAUGUAUAGGGCAGUUGGUGGUGACGCGGGGAAGUGAAACAUCUCAGUACCCGUAGGAAGAGUAAACAACAGUGAUUUCCUGAGUAGUGGUGAGCGAAAGGGAAUGAGGCUAAACCAUGUGCGUGUGAUAGACGGCAGUCGUUGCGUGUGUGGGGUUGUGGGGUGCAUCUUUUCGGGUCUGUCGGCCUGGAGCGUGCAGAGCAGAGAUAGUNNNCGUUGGGAAGCGGUACCGGAGUGGGUGAGAGUCCCGUAGGUGAAGGAAGAGCCCAGGUGUUGGUGUUGCCCCGAGUAGCGCGGAGCCCGAGAAAUUCCGUGUGAAUCUGGCAGGACCACCUGCUAAGCCAAAAUACGUCCUGGUGACCGAUAGUGCACUAGUACCGUGAGGGAAAGGUGAAAAGUGCCCCGGUGAGGGGUCGUGAAAUAGUACCUGAAACCGUGUGCUGUCAAGCCGUCAGAGCUGGUCCUUGUGGCUGGUGAUGGCGUGCCUUUUGAAGAAUGAGCCUGCGAGUCAUGGUGUGUGGCGAGGUUAACCCGGGUGGGGUAGCCGUAGGGAAACCGAGUCUGAAGAGGGCGUUGGAGUCGCAUGCUGUGGACCCGAAGCGGAGUGAUCUACCCAUGUCCAGGGUGAAGCGGGGGUAAGACCUCGUGGAGGCCCGAACCCACCAGAGUUGAAAAUCUGGGGGAUGAGGUGUGGGUAGGGGUGAAAGGCCAAUCAAACUCCGUGAUAGCUGGUUCUCCCCGAAAUGCAUUUAGGUGCAGCGUCGCGUGUUUCUUGCUGGAGGUAGAGCUACUGUUUGGCUGAUGGGCCCGACCAGGUUACUGACGUCAGACAAACUCCGAAUGCCGGUGAAGUGAAGCGUGGCAGUGAGACUGCGGGGGAUAAGCUUCGUAUGUCGAGAGGGAAACAGCCCAGAUCAUCAGCUAAGGCCCCUAAGCGUGUGCUAAGUGGUAAAGGUUGUGGAGUUGCCCAGACAACCAGGAGGUUGGCUUAGAAGCAGCCAUCCUUUAAAGAGUGCGUAAUAGCUCACUGGUCAAGUGGUUCUGCGCCGAUAAUGUAGCGGGGCUGAAGCACACCGCCGAAGCUGUGGAGCCCGAUCCUUUGGNNNCUGACGUCAGACAAACUCCGAAUGCCGGUGAAGUGAAGCGUGGCAGUGAGACUGCGGGGGAUAAGCUUCGUAUGUCGAGAGGGAAACAGCCCAGAUCAUCAGCUAAGGCCCCUAAGCGUGUGCUAAGUGGUAAAGGUUGUGGAGUUGCCCAGACAACCAGGAGGUUGGCUUAGAAGCAGCCAUCCUUUAAAGAGUGCGUAAUAGCUCACUGGUCAAGUGGUUCUGCGCCGAUAAUGUAGCGGGGCUGAAGCACACCGCCGAAGCUGUGGAGCCCAAACUUGUUUUGGGUUGGUAGGGGAGCGUCGUGCAUCCGGUGAAGUCGUCGAGUGAUCGUGCGGUGGAGGGUGUGCGAGUGAGAAUGCAGGCAUGAGUAGCGAGAGCAGCGUGAGAAACGUUGCCGCCGAUUGACUAAGGGUUCCUGGGGCAGGUUAAUCCGCCCAGGGUGAGUCUGGACCUAAGGCGAGGCCGACAGGCGUAGUCGAUGGAUAACGGGUUGAUAUUCCCGUACCCGUGCAUGAGCGUCCAUGCUGAAUCAGGUGAUGCUAACCACGUCUGCUGGUUCCGGGACCUUCGGGUUCUGGUUCUUUGCGGGCNUGCAUGAGCGUCCAUGCUGAAUCAGGUGAUGCUAACCACGCUGGACCUUUCGCCGGCCUUCGGGCUGGUGUUGGUGUCUGGUCUGGGAACCGAUCUUGUAGUAGGCAAGUGAUGGGGUGACGCAGGAGGGUAGCUCUACCCGGCGGUGGUUGUCCGGGGGUAAGCGUGUAGGCCGGUGUGUUGGCAAAUCCGCACACCAGAGGGUUGAGACGUGAUGCCGAGCCGUUUUUGGUGAAGUGAGUGAUCCCGUGCUGUCGANCUGGGAACCGAUCUUGUAGUAGGCAAGUGAUGGGGUGACGCAGGAGGGUAGCUCUACCCGGCGGUGGUUGUCCGGGGGUAAGCGUGUAGGCCGGUGUGUUGGCAAAUCCGCACACCAGAGGGUUGAGACGUGAUGCCGAGCCGUUUUUGGUGAAGUGAGUGAUCCCGUGCUGUCGAGAAAAGCCUCUAGCGAGUUCGUGUGUGGCCAGUACCCUAAACCGACGCAGGUGGUCAGGUAGAGAAUACCGAGGCGUUCGGGUGAACCAUGGUUAAGGAACUCGGCAAAUUGUCCCCGUAACUUUGGGAGAAGGGGAGCCCUGUCUGGUGAAGGACUGUGCGUCUGGAGCUGGGUGGGGUCGCAGAUAGCGGGGGGAAGCGACUGUUUAUUAAAAACACAGGUCCGUGCGAAGUCGUAAGACGCUGUAUACGGACUGACGCCUGCCCGGUGCUGGAACGUUAAGAGGACUGGUUAGCGGGGUUCGUCUCUGCGAAGCUGGGAAUCUAAGCGCCAGUAAACGGCGGUGGUAACUAUAACCAUCCUAAGGUAGCGAAAUUCCUUGUCGGGUAAGUUCCGACCUGCACGAAUGGCGUAACGACUUCCCCACUGUCUCAACCAUGGGCCCGGUGAAAUUGCACUACGAGUAAAGAUGCUCGUUUCGCGCAGCAGGACGGAAAGACCCCGGGACCUUCACUAUAGCUUGACAUUGGUGUUUGGGAUGGUUUGUGUAGGAUAGGUGGGAGCCUUGGAUAUUGCCACGCCAGUGGUGAUGGAGGCGUUGGUGAAAUACCACUCUGACUGUUUCGGGCAUCUAACCUUGGGCCGUGAUCCGGUUCGGGGACAGUGUCUGGUGGGUAGUUUAACUGGGGCGGUUGCCUCCUAAAGAGUAACGGAGGCGCCCAAAGGUUCCCUCAGCCUGGUUGGUAAUCAGGUGUUGAGUGUAAGUGCACAAGGGAGCUUGACUGUGAGACGGACGUGUCGAGCAGGAGCGAAAGCUGGGACUAGUGAUCCGGCACCGGCGUGUGGAAGCGGUGUCGCUCAACGGCUAAAAGGUACCCCGGGGAUAACAGGCUGAUCUUCCCCAAGAGUCCGUAUCGACGGGAUGGUUUGGCACCUCGAUGUCGGCUCGUCGCAUCCUGGGGCUGGAGUUGGUCCCAAGGGUUGGGCUGUUCGCCCAUUAAAGCGGCACGCGAGCUGGGUUUAGAACGUCGUGAGACAGUUCGGUCCCUAUCCGCUGUGCGCGUUGGAGACUUGAGAAGGGCUGUCCCUAGUACGAGAGGACCGGGACGGACGAACCUCUGGUGUGCCAGUUGUCCUGCCAAGGGCAUGGCUGGUUGGCUACGUUCGGGAGAGAUAACCGCUGAAAGCAUCUAAGCGGGAAGCUUGCUUCGAGAUGAGGUCUCCUGCCUCCUUUGAGAGGGUAAGACUCCCUAUAGACGAUGGGGUUGAUAGGCCGGGUGUGGAAGCCUUGUGAGGGGUGGAGCUGACCGGUACUAAUAGGUCGAGGGCUUGUCCGCU
RNAcentral lists this ribosomal RNA (3635 nucleotides) under Nocardiopsis coralli. RNAcentral's name for it is "23S ribosomal RNA". It matches the Rfam family "Bacterial large subunit ribosomal RNA". Lineage: Bacteria; Bacillati; Actinomycetota; Actinomycetes; Streptosporangiales; Nocardiopsidaceae. The record is from RNAcentral.